UACAGUAGUGACAGUGUACAGUAUAUGCUGUCAGUGGAAAUAAGUGAUUUGAUUAUGCUUAUUAUGCAGUUCUCGGCUCUGCUGCAUUAGCUAGGACACUUUACCUCUUUGUCUGUCAAACAAUAUUUCAAUUGGUUAAAACAGGCAACACGAGAGAUUUAACAGUGUAACAUGGGGGAAGAUUGUGUCUCUGUAUGCUGUGGCCGGAGCUCUAGCUGUGGACUGUGUUCGGCACGGCCAUCCAGCAAUGGUGCACACCAUUGUCGACUGCAUGGGCGAGUUUGUUCGCAAGAGCCUUGUGUCGUGGUUAAAGAGGAGAGGAGGCUGG
This is a long non-coding RNA of Sinocyclocheilus grahami, 328 nucleotides long. RefSeq lists it as uncharacterized. The transcript has 2 exons. Lineage: Eukaryota; Metazoa; Chordata; Actinopteri; Cypriniformes; Cyprinidae. The record is from RefSeq and is a predicted model, not a curated record.